CCUACGGGACGCAGCAGUGGGGAAUAUUGCACAAUGGGCGCAAGCCUGAUGCAGCCAUGCCGCGUGUAUGAAGAAGGCCUUCGGGUUGUAAAGUACUUUCAGCGGGGAGGAAGGUGUUGUGGUUAAUAACCACAGCAAUUGACGUUACCCGCAGAAGAAGCACCGGCUAACUCCGCGCCAGCAGCCGCGGUAAUACGGAGGGUGCAAGCGUUAAUCGGAAUUACUGGGCGUAAAGCGCACGCAGGCGGUCUGUCAAGUCGGAUGUGAAAUCCCCGGGCUCAACCUGGGAACUGCAUUCGAAACUGGCAAGCUUGAGUCUCGUAGAGGGGGGUAGAAUUCCAGGUGUAGCGGUGAAAUGCGUAGAGAUCUGGAGGAAUACCGGUGGCGAAGGCGGCCCCCUGGACGAAGACUGACGCUCAGGUGCGAAAGCGUGGGGAGCAAACAGGAUUAGAUACCCGGGUAGUC
Molecule: ribosomal RNA, 465 nt
Filed under: uncultured bacterium
Lineage: Bacteria
Description: bacterial SSU rRNA
Rfam family: Bacterial small subunit ribosomal RNA
Source: RNAcentral